CAGUGGUGGGUCACUGAGGAACAAAUGCACAUUUAAAUUAAAUUUUCAUUCUUUAAAAUAUUUACAAGUAAAUCUAGUCAUUCUUACUUUUAGUAGUGGAGUCACUAAGGAACAAGUUGUCCUCACUUGUUCCGAAACUGUCGGAUGAUAAACUUUAUUUAAUUAGCUGAAAUUACAAGUUUGUCUCAUUGGAUUAAUCAAAUACAUAAAUUCAAGUUCAAAAUUUAUUUUAAAAUCACACAUUUCAUUCAUUUAUAAUUUAUUAAUUUGAUUGCAUAUUAGAUGUCUGAAACCCAGUUGAAUCCAUUAAAAGAUCUAACUUAAAAUUUAAUUUGAUUUAGCCAAAAUAUGCAACUUAACAUUAAAAACUAAUGAAAAUUAUAAGGCAGGGUUAUUUGCAUUAUAAAAAUUAUUCGGAACACCUUUUCUUAUAAAUGUUAUAUCAUAAAAUACCAUAGUUUAAUUUACUAUUAAGAAAAAUCUUAUGUAAUUAAAUAAAAUACACUACUCGCGAUCCUAUUCUCAAACCCAUAGAGCUCAUUCGUUAGCAUAACGAGACGUCUCUAAGUAGUUUGUAGUUUAUGAGUAGAGAGAUGAAUAUACAGAACCUAUGAAUAUGGGGCCUUAACCUAAAGUAGCAUAGGCAUCAUCUUAACCAGCUCGAGAGUUGAGAUAUUCUAUAGUUGUAUCAAUGAAAGCCCCAAUCGGAAAUUACGUUAAGUGAUAUGAUGUUCGCCGCCCACUCAAUUAAAAAAAAGAAAAACCCUUGAGAGACCCCAAAAAAAACUGGUUAAUAAGGUGGUUAUAAUCUCUUUUCCAAUGAACGUAAAAGCAUGAAACUGAAAAGCAGAUCCAUUCUAUUCAUAUUCCUUACCACGAUUGUUUUGUUUACUACAUCAACAUAUACCCUAAUUUUUAUUUUUCUAAUUUCUUUGAUAUGCUUCUUGAAGCUCACAUUAUAAUCAGUUCUUCAUCAAAACAAUCCAUACCACCAACUUAUUCUUCUCAAUAAAAAGAAAGCAAAAUCCCACUUUCAAUAUGCAAAAUUGAAAAUACAUAUUGAAUAAAGUUAAGGAAAAGACUUUAUAAAGGAAAGCAAAGGUCAAAGGAGGUUUAUCUGAGGUCUGCAUAUGUAAGAAAGAAACCAAUUAUGGGAUUUGUUUGUUGAUUUUGGGAGGAGUACGGAGAGCCAAUAUCAUCAUUAAGCAGACAAAAUGAUAAGGAGCUAAUACCAUGUUCUUGAUCUUUAGAGGCAGUUCUUGCUUUCAUCUUUAAAUUGAUUGUUGUCGCCUUGGACUUCAUCGGUGUUUAGAGGUACUUGCUUUCAUCUUCAAUUGACUGUUGUCACCUGGGACUUCAUCGGUGUUCAGAGGGGGCGUUAUUUGCAUGCGGUUGACCAACGGGCGUGAAAGUCGGUUGCUGGGCCUCGACGAUUGCCUGGAUUUAUGCCUUUGUGGGUGGUUGGGAUUCAAUUUGUUUAUGAUUUGAGAAUUUAUGGUAGAAUAGGUCUGUCUUUUAAUUAUUUAUAUUUAAAUUAUUAUUUUAAGUGCAAUCCGAUUGGGUUCAUCUGGAUCGGAUCCGAUCUGAAUCAAAUCUGAUUGGAUUGUAAAAUUUCUGUUCAAUCGAGUUUGGGGAUCGGAUCUGAUCCGAUGCCCACCCUUACAAAGUACCACGUGCAAGUCGUUACAUAUUAAAAAUGAUUUUAAAUGUUUUGGUUUAUUGUCCAUAGUCAUUAUAAUAUUGAUCAUAUUAUAUGAUAUAUAUGUUAUGAUUACUUGGUUUAUAUUCUGAGUGUGCACACUUUAUUGAUAUUUUAACUCUGCUUCUAAAUGGGUCACCAAGAGUAUAAGGGAUACUAUAUGAUAUGACUUAUGAGUUAACCUUUUACUUUCCGUGUGUAUAUGUUACACAAUUUGUUUUCAUGAUUAAUUAUGCUUUUAAUAUCCUUAAUCACUUAUGAAUUUAUGUCAUUUUGUAAAACUUUUGUUUCUAAACUAUGGUUUAAUAAAAAAAGGGCUUGCAAUACUUUUGAGACCUAAUAACCCUAGUGCGUUGAGAAUAUCUUUACUUACCGAGUUAAGAACUUGCCCCUCGUCAUUUCUUUUUACAAAUUGAGUAGCUUGCUGUGAGUUCAUUGUGAUUACAUUUGGAGACUUUUGUUUAUCUAUUAGAGUUGGGAGACGAUUUUUUGUGUUGGAGUUGUACACAGAAUUUUUUGAUUGAUUUGAAUAAAAUUUAAGGUUUAUAUGUUUGAGAUUUUUCUGUAAAGAUUAUGAUUAAUAAGUAACCUCCUACUUUAUCACGUGCUCCACACAUGUUAGAUUUCGAGUGUUAUAUAAUCCCACCUAGAGCUAAAUCUAUCAUUAAAAAGCAAAACAAAAAUAUCUAAAAUCAUAUAUCUAACCUUAAAAAGCUAUGGUUUCCCAAAUGUAAAGAAAAAUACUAAUAAGAUUGUAAGAAUAAUGAAGUAAGGUUUUUCCUUCAAUCAUCCAUAAAAUUUACCCUCAUUUAUAUGAUUUUUUUUAGCUACGCCAUUGCUUACUUAAUAUAUUCAUACGAUAAUGUGGAUUGUGAUAUAGCUAUUAGGCAUACUGAUGCUAAAUGCCUCUUUAAAAUAUAUUUGUUUGUAUUUGUAUGGAGUUUUCUUUUCUUUUUUAUUUUUAAAUAAGAAAAAAAAAACUACUUGGUCAGUGCUCAUGAUAAAUAAUGAGAUUAGUCUUGAAAGAUAAAUGUACAAAAAUAACCCUAAAAUAUAUUAACAACGUACAUCAAAUGAUCAUAUUUAUAAAAAUAACUAAUUCUCUAUCUGUUAUAGUUGAUCUAAUUAUUAUAAGUACUUAUUUAAUCUGAUAAACCCUCAUCAAAAUUUUUAUUGUUGUUUAGUUAUUUUUCAAUAGAGUUUUUAAAGAUUAAAUAAGCUAUUUUGUCUUUAUUAGUAAAAUGUUAAAUUUUAAGUUUUUAGGAGUAGAUGUUAAAAAGUUUUUUUAAAUGUUAAAAUAUCUAAAAUAUAUUUUAUUUAUUUGAUAAUCUUAUUUUAUUAUUUUUAUAAUAUAGUUUUAAAAAAAAUAAUACCUAUUAAAGUAAUUUUAUAAUUUUUAAUGAAAACUCUCAUUUUACAAUUAAAUAAUUAAAAGUUUUUUAGAUGAAAAUUCUAUUUAUAAAAAUUCUUAUAAAAAUUCUACUUAAAUAAUUUUUAAUUAAAAAACUAUACCAAACUGAGUCUAAGGGCCGUUUGUUUUUUUGACUUAAUGACUUAAUUGACUUUAUUUUAAGAGUAAUAAUAGAGCCACAAAUUCUUGUACAAACUUAUUUUGUACAAACUCAUGUGGCAUGAUAAGAUUGGUUGAAUUAAAUAUCACUUGGCCCACAUGAUUUGUUUUUAUUAUUUUAUAUUUUUAUUCAACCAAUGAAUUAAUGUCACGUUAGUUUGUACAACAUAAAUUUGUACAAGAGUUUAUGGCUGUAUCAUCACUCUUAUUUUAAUCAGUUAAGCCAUUAAGGGGCCGUUUGUUUUUUUUUUUUACUUAAUAAUUUAAUUGACUUUAUUUUAAUUAGUUAAGCCAUUAAGUCUAAUUUUUUUAACUUAGGGGCCGUUUGUUUUGUUUAUUUAAUGACUUAAUUGAAUUAAUUUUAAUCAGUUAAGUCAUUCAGUCUGUUUAUUUUUUCAACUUAAUGAAAAUUAUUUUCAACCAUUAAGUCAUUAAGUUAAUCUAAUUUUUUUAGCUUUUUACUUAAUCUAAAAAGUUUGAAUGAUAUCAUUAAAAAAUAUUCUCUAAAAUACCCCUAUCUAAUUAAUUAAUUUUGAGUCAUUGAGUUAUUAAACUAAUUUUUUUAAAUUUUUUUACUUAAUCUAAAAAGUUUGAAUAAUAUUAUUAAAAGAUAUUUUCUAAAAUAUCCUUAUCUAAUUAAUUAAUUUUUAUCCUUACCUAAAUAAAAUUAAAUAAUUAGCAUUAUUAUCUAUCUCUAUAUAAUUUGUGAUAAUAUAUACUGGUAAAUUAUUAUUUUUAUCUUUUUAUUUUCUUCAAAUUAACAUUACUUAUCUUCAUAAUUUUUUAUCAAGAUUUUUCGUAUAAAACAUUAUAAACUAUAGUAAAAUUGAUUAACAUAUAUAAUAUAAAAUAUUAAAUCUAAUUUAUUAUUUUAUUUGUAUUCUUUAAGAUACUUAUUAUUUAUUUAAUAUUUAUAAUUGUAUGAAUAUAAAUAUAAAAAUAUUAGUUUUUAAAUUUUUUAAAUUAAAAAAUAAAUAAUUUAUUAUUUAUUUUUAGUGAUUUAGACAAUAAACAUAUCAUUCAAUUAUAUUCCUAAUUCAGAAUAAUUCAUGUGUAUUCUGAUUUCAAACAAACAAAUAAACGCCACGUAAGUGUGAUUAUAAAAGAUAGAUUAACAGCGUUCAUCCUAUGUGAAGGUGAUGGAGGAUGGUAAAACUUAGAUAUUCUCCGAGACAAAAGCACAAACAGAUACAAGGUGAGCUCUGAGCUGGAAAAAAAAAAUUAAAAAAAUGGCAACUUACAAUUACAAAGCGCUUGACUGCAUCACCAGCUGCGACAUUGAAGCUCUGGGGAUACCUUCAAAGCUUGCAGAGCAGCUUCAUGAAAAGCUCGCCGAGAUCGUUAACACUCACGGGGCUGCCACUCCCGCCACGUGGCAGAACAUCACUACCCACAUCCUCAGCCCUGACCUUCCCUUCUCCUUUCAUCAGCUGUUGUACUACGGUUGCUAUAAAGACUUUGGACCCGACCCGCCAGCUUGGAUACCCGACCCGUCAUCCGCCUUGGCCGUACAGCAGAUGAAUAUAAAUAUAAAAAUAUUAGUUUUUAAAUUUUUUAAAUUAAAAAAUAAAUAAUUUAUUAUUUAUUUUUAGUGAUUUAGACAAUAAACAUAUCAUUCAAUUAUAUUCCUAAUUCAGAAUAAUUCAUGUGUAUUCUGAUUUCAAACAAACAAAUAAACGCCACGUAAGUGUGAUUAUAAAAGAUAGAUUAACAGCGUUCAUCCUAUGUGAAGGUGAUGGAGGAUGGUAAAACUUAGAUAUUCUCCGAGACAAAAGCACAAACAGAUACAAGGUGAGCUCUGAGCUGGAAAAAAAAAAUUAAAAAAAUGGCAACUUACAAUUACAAAGCGCUUGACUGCAUCACCAGCUGCGACAUUGAAGCUCUGGGGAUACCUUCAAAGCUUGCAGAGCAGCUUCAUGAAAAGCUCGCCGAGAUCGUUAACACUCACGGGGCUGCCACUCCCGCCACGUGGCAGAACAUCACUACCCACAUCCUCAGCCCUGACCUUCCCUUCUCCUUUCAUCAGCUGUUGUACUACGGUUGCUAUAAAGACUUUGGACCCGACCCGCCAGCUUGGAUACCCGACCCGUAAAUAUUAUUUAAUUCCAUUCAGUUUAUUUCAACUUUUUCUUCAUUAUUGUGAGUUUUGUCAUAUAUUGAACUUUUGCAUGUAUUGAAUGAUAGCUUGUCAAGUAAUUUUUUGAUAAUGCUUUGGGAAAAUAAUUAUGACUUUUGAUGGCUUCCGGUGAAAUUUGGAGUUGAUUCAAUCAGAAUUUAUUGUUUGGUAAUAGUGAUAGUAGAACUUAGUUCAAGAUUUUCAGCUGAUUCUAAGUUUAUUUCAGUGUAACUGUGAUUCCCAAAGCCCAAUUGUGUGGAUUCUAUUGUUUUAGGAUUGUCGCAGAGGAGCUAUUGAAGCAAGUGGAUUAAAUAUUAACUAAGUACGAGAAACAAGGAGCAAUUUGAUUAUUAAAACCUAAGAAAACAUGCUGAAAUGCCCAAUUAAUUGAGUGGUAAACUUUUUACAUGCUAAAAAAAUGAAGAGUUUUUCAACGGCUGAAGAGGACAAAAUGAAAUUUGGAGUAUUUUUAUGCAAAUUCGUGUUUCUUUGCUUCUUUUCUUAAUUUAUACUGUUUAUAUGAAUAUUAAAUUGCUCUCUUUAUCUUUUUGUUGUUUCAAAUUAAUGCCUUGUUGUAUGGGUAGGGAGGCUGCAAAGGUAACAAAUGUUGGAAAAUUAUUACAGACGCGUGGAGAAGAGUUUUUGGGUUCAGGCUACAAGGAUCCCAUAUCGAGUUUUUCCAAUUUUCAGGAAUUUUCUGUCUCAAAUCCUGAGGUAGUAGUAGUACUAAUAUAAGCUUAAGCUGACAUUCAUAUGCUGCCAUUUAUUACUUACAUACGGUUUCUUAUCUCUUCAUAUGUUAGGUGUAUUGGAAAACUGUCUUGAAUGAAAUGAGUACAUCAUUUUCGGUACCUCCUCAAUGUAUUUUACGAGAGAAUCCAAAUGGGGAAAAUCACUUGUCAAACCCGGGUGGGCAAUGGCUUCCUGGAGCAUUUGUAAAUCCAGCAAAAAAUUGCUUGAGUGUAAAUAGUAAAAGAAGUUUGGAUGACAUUGUAAUAAGGUGGCGCGAUGAAGGAGAUAGCGGUCUGCCUGUGAAGAGCAUGACACUUAAGGAAUUGCGUGCUGAGGUUUGGUAUGGUAUUUUUCAUCUAUAUGCUGUAAUUUUUAUUUUAUUUUUGUUCAAUCCAUUUAUAGAUGCUUCACUGAUUGUAUUAUUAAAUGAGUUGUGGGCUUAAUUGAAGAUUAUUUUGUUGCUAUAAACAUAGUUAACUUUAGUACUGCCACAGAAGAAAAUAUAGUUUUCUUCAAAAGGCAAGUAAUUAUUCUAAUUAAAACAUGGUUUGUCCUCAAGUAGACUGAAAUUGAUAUGUUACAGAAGACAAAAUAGUUUUUUCAUUUGUUGCAGUGAUUUUGCAUUAUAAGUGAGAAUUUAUUUAAUUUGUGAUGUUUCUACUAUUCUUUUGUGAAACUUAUACCAUUUUCUAAAAUGACAAAAAGUUUUUCUCGUUGCUAUAUAUUGUAGGUUAGUUGCAUAUGCACUCAAUGCCCUGGGUUUGGACAAAGGAUCUGCUAUUGCAAUUGAUAUGCCAAUGAAUGUCAAUUCUGUGGUUAUCUACCUAGCCAUUGUUCUGGCAGGUUAUAUAGUUGUCUCUAUCGCUGAUAGUUUUGCAUCACUUGAAAUAUCAACGAGGCUUAGAAUAUCAAAAGCGAAAGCCAUAUUUACUCAGGUUAAAAUCCUAUUCCUUACAACGGACAAUAAUUUAUCUCAACUUCUUGGUUAUUCAUGGAAAUACUGAGGCUCAAGGUGAAGCCUCUAAGUUGGUUUUGGUUAUGACCUAAUUUAUGUGUAAACCUUAUUUUUUCCAUCUUAUUAUGUCAGGAUCUAAUCAUUCGCGGUGACAAAAGUAUACCCUUGUACAGGUGAAGCUUUUGUUUCUGUCUAGCCAAAUACAUAUACUUGAAUUUCUGUGGUUUCCUUUUCAUUUUUUGUCCUAAUUUUUCUCAAUCUUGAGCUUCGAUUCUGCAGUAGAGUUAUCGAUGCCCAAGCUCCUUUGGCGAUUGUUAUUCCUGCCAAAGGUUCUAGCUUCAGUAUGAAACUGCGUGAUGGUGACAUUUCUUGGUUCGAUUUUCUGGAGAGAGUCAGGAAGUUAAAGUACGGACAUUUUUUUCUGCUUGAACCCUACCACCUUGUUAAUCUGUAUGCAUUUUCAUCUAUCAUUUGUUAUCCACAUUUAAUAGGUUAAACUUUGACACUUAAUUGAUUCCAUCUAAAUUGUGAAAACAUUAUCUUCUGGGCAAAAGACAUCAAUGUGGUGACCUCAAACUUUUAAAAAGUUUGUAUACAUGGAAAAAAGAAGUAAUAAAGUAAGCAACAAUCUGUUGUUCCUGUCCUUCACUGACCAGGCUAUUCACUAAUACACAUUGCUUAAGUGAGCACAAAAUUUUGUAGUCAUCCUAAACUACAUGAUUUGUGAUCUUAUAAUUUUUGGCAAAAGAUAAGAAAAAAGAUAUCAAUAAAGUUCUAAGGCUGGUCCUGUAUCUGGCUGUCUUUUACAUCAACCCUGCAGAGAGAAUGAAUUUGCAGCUGUGGAACAACCAGUGGAAGCAUUUACAAACAUCCUUUUCUCAUCUGGAACCACAGGUAUCUUAAAGAAUAAAUCUCAUAAGUCUUCUUUACCCAUUUCACUUUAUUAGAAACUAGAAAGUGUCUUUCCUGAACUGAGCAUAACUUUGUGGUAUAAAUAUAUGAUUUUGGUGCCAAGCUAUCACCCUGCUUAAAGUAUGGCGGUAUUAUGUAGCUCUAGUGUCAAAUUAUUUGGUGCUUUAACUUUGAAAUUAUAAUUACUCUAUAAAUACCAACAAAAUUUUAGAUGUCUCGAAACUGGAAAAUGGAAGAAAGAAAUUUCCAGUUAGUUAUACGUCUGCAGUCAUCAAAGUAGUGGAAUCAUCUUCUUUUAAAAAAUAGAAAUAGAAAACAGAAAGACCACAGAAAAUGAGGACUAGUUUUGUUUCUUCAACACUGCUUUUAGUCAUAACAAAUCACAUUUGCUGCUAUUGAAUUUUUUUAUUUUUUAUUUUUAUGGAUUAAGUAAUAUGGGAAAUAACUUUAGAUUCAGCACAAAGAACUGUAAAUGAGUGCAAAACCAACUUUGGAAAAAAUUGGCAUGAUGUGUCCUGUCUACUGCUCUAUGGUAAUGGGGUUUUUGUUUCUAUGAAAAACUUCAAACUCUUGGAAUCCCUUCCGAUAAUCAUCUGUUUUGAGCUUCACUAACUGGAUAAAAGCGAAUAUUAACAGCUGGAUAACUAUAUGAUUCACGUCAAAAUUUAAGUAUGAUGAAACUCCAAGGUUACAUACCGAAAUUGCAUUUAGAGCUGCACAAUUGUCAUAAAACCUGAGUGAACUUAUUUCUGGCAUAGGGGAACCAAAAGCAAUUCCAUGGACCAAUGCAACGCCUUUUAAAGCUGCAGCAGAUGCAUGGUGCCACAUGGAUAUUCGUAAAGCCGAUAUUGUUGCUUGGCCAACUAACCUUGGGUGGAUGAUGGGUCCUUGGUUGGUUUAUGCAUCAUUGUUAAAUGGAGCUUCCAUAGCUCUAUAUAAUGGAUCCCCCCUUGGUUCUGGCUUUGCUAAGUUUGUACAGGUAGGAACCCCUUGAGUCUUGCCAUCUUGUUUGUUUGCUGUUUCCUAGUCAUGUUAUGGUGUUUUUGCCAUUAAUCUUGAUGCCUCAACAAACCUCUAGAUGAUAAAGUAUCCUAGGAGAAUGAUUUUCGCCAUUGUUUCAAAAUAUAUAAUUAUCAUGCUUGACAAUAUUAAUGUUACACAUCAUUUGGAAAGUUGCAUUGAGUCGGUAUUGGCAGCAAUUCAGUUCAGAGCACUAAAAACAAAAUGAAACAUUUGAAGUGCUCUGAGGACUCACCAUCCCUUGAUUAUUAUUUGACUUUGCCAUGAUGUGCAUUGAAACUCAUGGAAGGUACAACUUACUGGUUGGAUUGGUGACAUUUGAAUGCCAUAAGAUAGCAAUUCAUGGUGGGGUUGGAGGCGUAAAGUCCGCAAUUUUAUUGCCAGCUGUAGUUUGAUUUUCAUUAUUCAAAGUUGUAAUACUAUGCAGCUUCAAUUUUACAUUUGAUUGAUGCAUUUUGCUACUGGUCACUACAAGCAUGUAUAAGGUUUGCAAUUUUUAUGUUGGGUGUACCUUGAUCUUGGUUAUACAUGAAUCUUAUGUUUACAUCAAAAAAUAUACUUGAAUGAUGUCUUGUAUUAAAAUUUAUUCCUGUUCUUUUAUUGACGGAGUAAAUGCAGAAUGAUUUGGAGAGAAAUUUUAAAAUAGCUAGGCUGCUAGAAGUAACAAUCCUUUCUGUAUUUUGUCACACAUACAGCAUGUAGGGAUUUGGUAAUCUUUUUCAAUUUCAAUUACAUUUCCUGCAAUUCUCUAGGAUGCUAAAGUAACAAUGCUUGGUGUUGUCCCAAGUAUUGUUCGCACAUGGAAAAGUACAAACUGCAUAGAUGGCUAUGAUUGGUCUUCCAUUCGGUGAGUCCUCGAUGCCUCUACUGAGAUUGUUAUUCUUCACAUUUAGAUGCAUGUGAUUAUUUGAUGAAAAGUCAGUAAUAUAGGUCUUGUAGACUGUGCCGUAUAUAGAUAGUUUUGAGCUGUAAUUUUUUAUUUGUAAACUGGUAGGUGCUUUGGCUCCACUGGUGAAGCUUCUAAUGUAGAUGAGUACUUAUGGCUAAUGGGGAGAGCCCUAUACAAGCCUGUUAUCGAAUACUGUGGUGGUACAGAGAUUGGUGGUGGAUUUAUCACCGGAUCGUUAUUGCAGGCUCAGUCACUGGCUGCUUUCAGUACACCAGCUAUGGGCUGCAAGUUGUUCAUUCUUGGGAAUGAUGGUUGUCCUAUUGUAAGUACUGGAUACCUUACUUUAGUAUGUUGUGAAGAUCGACCAUUAUCAUAUUGAAAUGGGAGAUGUAUUUCCUGCUCCUUUUCCUUCUUACAAGUCCUAUAUUCUGUUUCUUGAACAAACCAUACAAAUUAUCUGGAAAUAAUUUUGUUUUGCUUUUCCCAAUUUUAGCCUCAAAAUGUGCCGGGGAUGGGUGAGUUGGCACUCAGUCCACUUAUAUUUGGUGCUUCAAGUACGCUGCUGAAUGCCAACCACUAUGAUGUCUACUUUAGUGGAAUGCCUUCCCGGAAUGGACAGGUAAACAGAACUUUAUUUCUACCUUCAUUCUAUUGUGUUCUCCGGGUUAAUUAAAUAUUUAUAUUGAAUCAAUUGUGCAGAUUCUUAGGAGGCAUGGGGAUGUCUUUGAGCGCACUUCUGGAGGGUAUUAUCGUGCACAUGGUCGUGCAGAUGAUACCAUGAACCUUGGGGGAAUCAAGGUAUGACAUGGGAUAUAUGGGAUUAGUAAAGGGAAUGGGUAGCUAAUAUGUUCAUUUUAAUACUCUGUUGCUUUUCUUUCAACUUUGGCUCGUGAACUUAGAACUGCCCACUUGCAUGUUUUCUUGACUUGUCUAUUUCGAGGGCUUUGUAAACUUUAUUUUUAAAGUUGGGCAUUCAAUCAUAUAAGAAAAUAUUGCAGUAGGGUAUAUAAAGAGCAAGCAUCUAUAGCUAAUGAUGUCAAAAUGGGAUGCUUACAGGAGUAGUUUAUGAUCAAAUCAAGCAAAAUGAUGCAUUGUCUGUUCUAAAAACAUCAUGUUCUCUUUGACAGGUUAGUUCAGUUGAGAUUGAGCGCAUCUGUAAUGCGGUUGAUAGCAAUGUGCUUGAAACAGCAGCCAUUGGUGUGCCACCACCUGAUGGUGGACCUGAGCAACUUACAAUAGUUGUUGUAUUCAAAGAUUCCAAUUACACGCCACCAGAUUUGAAUCAACUGAGGAUGUCUUUCAAUUCAGCAGUACAAAAGAAACUAAAUCCUCUGUUCAAGGUAUUGAUUUCAGCUCUUCAAACCUAGCCCAUCUGCCAAAUCAUUGAGGGCCAUUAACAUUCGAAUUGCAUGAUAAAAUGUGCUUGUGCAGGUCUCUCAUGUUGUUCCCCUUCCAUCCCUUCCAAGAACAGCAACAAAUAAGGUUAUGAGAAGGGUCUUGCGGAAGCAAUUAGCUCAACUUGAUCAAAAUUCUAAACUAUGAUCUAAACUUGUGAAUUUGUCAUAGCCGCCAAAGUACAGCCUGUAUUCAAACAUUGUCUUUGCACUGAAAGAAUAAUUUUAUCCCCCAUACUGUAAGUUAUAUAGCAACAAGUGGUUUCUUGAGAAAUGUCCUGUGAUUAAAAUAAAAAUGUUCAAUGUUAAAUCAGUACGAGUUUCACUUAUUUUGCUUACAGUGAAUUUUGGAUUAUGUAAAUAAUAAUAUUAGGGAUAUCAACAUUUGAGUCUAAAUAUCAAGGGUUAUUUAUCCCUCGGAAAAUAAAUUUCAUAAUUGGUAAAAUUACUUCAUCACUGUUUAAUGAAUGAAUGCUAUUGGUUGGACUUAAAUUGGAGUUCAAAUAUUGGUUUAUGCUUGAGAUUAAUUGUAAUGUAAUAUUUUUUUAAAGAAAAGAAUAAUAUUAUAAAAGACUUAUAUUGUUAAAACAAACACACACACAGACAAUAAAGAAGGUAAUUGGGCAUGUUUGAAACAAAAAAAGAGUGAUGCUAUUAGCAUCCCUCAAUUAUCCUUUUCAAAAGCCAUUUCUGUUUACAUCAUAUUUAAUUUCUAAAAUAAUUUUUAUUGUUUUUUUUUCUUAAUAAACCCCGUGAUUGACUCUUUUUUUCUGUCUCCCCCAUUUUAAUCCCCCCAUCAACUUCUUGAUGUAGUAUUUAUCAGCUACUUUUCUUCCCUUAAUAAAACCUAACAAGUGAUUCUCUCUCUCCCAUAAUCCCAUUCUAUUUUGAAAAGAAAUAAAGUAGGCACAAAAUGUAAUUUUCCUCUUAACAUGUUCAUAAAUUUAAUAAUCUAUAUAAACUUUACAAAAUUAUUUUUCCUGUAAAAAUAAAUUGUAAAUUAGUGAUUAAAACUUAUUUAAAAUCAAAUACUUAUUCUUUAAUUUCCUUUUUUUCUUUUUUUUCUUUUUUCUUUUUGUUUAUAAACUUUAUAGGUUUGAACAAUUUGUACUAGAGAAAGACACUGAGAGCAAAACCUCAUGGGGAUUUUAAUUAGAAAAGUUUUAAUUUUUAACACAAUUUAAAAUAUAAAAGAUAAAAAGAAAAUGAGUAAUUGGGCUUGGCCCGCGUAGUACUAGCGGACCCUGCGCAAGCUGCCAAUUCCUUCCAAUCGGGUUCUAAAAUUAAAACUUAAAAAGUCCUGAGAAGAUUAAAUCCUCUCGACCCGCUGGAGGCUGCGGUUCGUUUGUUGGAAGUGUUCUCAGCUGCGAUUCUUCCAAUAAACAAGUCAAUUGAGUUAAAAUUAAAAUUAAAUUAAUGUCAUCUCUUUUACUGUCAAACCCUAAUCUCUCCACUUCGUUCCUUCCCUGUAAGAUGUAAGCACCAUAUCCUACAUCAUUCAUAAACAUUUAACUUCCCUUAAUUUUGUUUCAUAUGUGUGGAUAAAAAUUGAAAUUUUUUUUUGUGGCAUCAAUUGUUAAAUUGAAUUGAUUUAAGGACUUGGGUAUUUGGUUUUUGUGCAGCCCUGGUUAUGAAAACACAAGAAAGGCGGCGUUUUGUCCCCUUUCUAGAAGCUCUAAAGUCACAAGAUGUGCUGUGGACACACCAUCUGGAGGUAUUGUUUCUCUGAUAUGAAUAGAAUUUUAGUGUAUUUGUAGGUUAGCUUGUUGCAUUUCCUACCAAAAGUAUACAAAACUUGUGUGGAAAUAGGAUAAUUUGAAUAUGCCACUCUAUCAUCGACGGUUUAUGACUCUUUCCAAUGGUAAAAGAGCCUGGCGAUUUUGUGAUAAUAGUACUGGAAUUCGUUGAGUGUUAAUGGCCAUUAAAUAAGUUACUGAAUAUAUUUUUCUCAGAAGUGUAAUGAAAGAGAUAAGAGGGUAUCUGAUAACAACAGUAAUAGAGAAAGGGCCGCCAGUAAACAAGAUAAUAAGCUCUUUGACAGUUAGUGGAGGAGAUAGAGGGUGUCUGCUAACUACGAUAAUAGAGAAAGGGCCCCUGGUAAUAAGUUCUUUGAUGGUAUGUGCUUGAUCAUGGUAUUUAUCAAAAGCGCUAACUGGGACUGAUAGGUGAAUAUUAUUAACAUGAGUUUGGUUUUCAAUUCUUACAUUAUCCUUAAAUGCUAGAACCAAUCCAUUUGAGCAUGAAUGAUUUAAGAUUGAAAACGUUGUGAUUCUUUGAGAAUGAUGGGAAUCUGAUUCACAAUUUUUAAAGAAGUUUAGGGUUUCUGAUGUAAGUUCUGAGCAGUACACGUAUAUGCAUACUGUUCUUCUAUAUGGAGAGCUGGUCGGCCUCCAAGGGGAUAAGCCCAGUUGGUUUAGCAUUUUGUAGCAGAGCAAAAGUUCAAGUGAUUGAUUUUCCCUCACAUCAUCCUUGGAAUGGAAAUUUUCUUUGAUUUGUGUUUGUGCAGGGGGUGGGUGUAAGGGUGAGUUGUGUAAAAUUUUUUUUUUGGGGGGGGGGGGGGUGGGGGUUGUGUGUAUGCCUGGUUAACGCAUACAAUCUUUUUAAUUCCAUGCAACAUCUAUAUGUUAUUUUGGUUUUUCGGGCGUGAAAUCAUUGUGGAUCUUUUUGGCGGGUUGAUAUUGUAUAUGCAUUUCUUUUGGGGAGGCAGGGGUGGAAUGAUGUUUCUUCUUGUGGUGAAAAACUUAUUGCUUCCUUCUUUUAUAUUGGUAAUGGAUGAGAAUCAUAUGGAAUUAUGUUGGGCACUAUCUAGUUAAAUGUUUGUGUGGGUUAUGUAUUGUAGCUGGAUAUUUGCUGUGGAACAACUAGGUGGUUAGAGCAAUCGAUGCCACCUGUUAACCUUUAGAGUUCCUGUGUUAGCAAUGAAUAGUCUAGUCAUGACCGCUAUUUAAUAGAUGGUUAAAUAUAUCAAAUUGUUGGCUAAUGCAGCGUUGGUAAUCAUGGGUUUGUGGAAUUUUCACCAUGUUGCAUAAGAUGUUUGUUAAUUGUGUACUCCUGGUGCUUUUCCAGUUGCUGCUGUAGUUUUCUGAUUUACUUUUCUGCUGGUUAUGUUUUAUAUUUUGGCCUUAUUAUUCAGGUAAUAUGCCAACAUUUUCUCGAAUAAAGGUUUGGGACCCUUAUAAACGUCUUGGAAUUAGUCCAUAUGCUUCAGAGGAAGAGAUUUGGGGAUCACGCAAUUUUCUCUUGGAACAAUAUGCUGGACAUGAGAGAAGUGAAGAAUCAAUAGAAGCUGCUUUUGAGAAAUUACUAAUGACCAGCUUCAGACGAAGGAAGAAAGAAAAAAUUAAUUUGAAAAGUAGGCUAAAGAAGCAAGUAGAAGAGUCUCCACCGUGGUUCAAAAACUUGCUCAAUUUUGUGGAGCUUCCUCCAAAGGAUGUUAUUUUUAGAAGAUUGUUUCUGUUUGCAUUCAUGGGUGGCUGGAGUAUCAUGAAUUCUGCUGAAGGUGGACCUGCUUUCCAGGUUUGUUCUUGUUGUGAUUAGAUUGUGACCGACUAUCUCUACAUGGUCAACAAAUUUUAUUCACUUGUGUCAGUUUUAUGCAUUAGGAAGAAGUCUUGACUUCUAAAUAGUCUCAUGAUCAGUAAGGUUUGUACAAAUAUUUUUCCAUUCCGAAUUAUAUUUGAAGUGUGCUGCUGUAACAACUCAUAUACAAUUGCUGUUCUAUAAGUUUAGGGCUUUUUUUAUUCCCCCUUUCUCGAUAGAAUUUUGUUGUUAUAUGAAUGUUCUAUGCAGCUGGUUACCCUUAAAAGGAGCCAUGUUAGUGGAAGGCUAGUUCUGAACAGUGCAUAAUCUGCCAUGUACAUCCUUCACUCGUGAGUGGGAUCCUAAAAUCCCACUGAACUCUGAAAUUGCAUUUUACUGCAUCUUCCUAGAUAUGUUCACUAUUCUUAGGUUCAAUCCUUCUUACACAUUGUAAUUCUAAUGUUGAACAAGCAGAUGAUGUCAUUGGAUGGAAAUUUUGUAUGUUUAAUAACAUUGCACAACUGUAUUUAAGUGCACUGAAACUGGACUAUAAUUUUAUGUACAGGUAGCUGUAUCUUUGGCUGCUUGCAUAUAUUUUCUUAAUGAGAAGACAAAGAGCCUGGCUAGAGCUUCAAUUAUUGGGUAAGCUUACUUAUGGAAAAAACUUAGAGUGGUGUUCUCAAAUCAAUUACAUGAUGGUUUGCAUUUCAACUCUUCCCUUAAUUUUCAUUUUCCCUCUGUUUCUUCGUUUCAAAUGAUGCUUGUUUCGUAAGUUACUAACAUUUUUAUGUGCUUCCAUUUCAGACUUGGAGCUCUUGCCAGCGGCUGGAUUCUUGGUUCCGUUGUUGUCCCAAUGAUUCCUACUGUUCUAAUACAUCCGACUUGGACACUGGAGCUUCUAACAUCGCUAGUAGCAUACUUCUUCUUGUUUCUCGCUUGUACUUUUUUCAAGUAAAGCUCCAACAUACUAUGUUCGUUUUGAAAUUAAGAGUUGAACCAAAACUACACUCUAUUACCAUUGUCAUUGGAUUUUUAACUCAUUCAUUUUACCCUUUCUAUUCUCCGGUACAUAUAGAGACUAGAGAGUACUGUGGAAUUAGGCAAUUGUGGUAGUAGUUUCAAUCCUGUGAACAAAUUUAUUCCCCCCCCCCCCAAAAAAAAAGUCAUCACGUGAAUCUUAAAAUUUCCUAGGUUCUUUUUAAGUAUUUCUUCAGUUAGAUAAUUGUAACAAUUUGUUUCGAGUACUCAGAAAUCUCUUGGGGAGUCUUCGUUCCAUUUUGUAUCUUGCUGCAAAUCCCGGACCACGCUAUGAGUUUCAACAAUAUAUGUAUAUGUACACACCAAGAUAGAAGCAAAACACACCCUAAUGCAGUUAGCAUCGAAACUGUCCGUGAAUACACAUUCAUUUGAAACAAAAGUGAAUGGUAGCUUAAUCACAUAUUUAAACCCCAAAAAAAUGAAAACAUCUAUUUUAUGACAAUAUAUAGAUAUGUCAACGGUAGAAUUUUCUGGUGUCACGUGUACUAUUGUUCCUCUUUGCCCAGCAACCAACAAUGUAUGUGAAAAUAAGGAAUACAAGGGCGCAUAGGUUAGCUAUAAGCAAAUUUUCCCAUUGACUCCUGAUGCUGUCAACAAAUCCUGCUUUGCAUGCAUUGCAAUCAAAGCACAGCGUCUGUUGCUGAUUGUUCCAUGCCUUGCAGUCGCUGUCAUCAACGGCUGGCCCUGUUUUCGGGGCUAUCCAGAACGUCGCAUUCUGGCUAUUGAAUCCACAUUCAGACGGUGGCUUGCAGCAACUAGACUGAAGAUGAGAAAACAAUAGUGUUGUUUAUACUGGAUAUAUCACACAAAUGUAGACUGGAGAGGAGUGAGAUUAAAUGAAGAUGUACCAUGAGACACUGAGUUAUAGAUAACAUUAAAUGUAAAAUUUAAAACAAAGAAUGAAAGACCUGUAACAUCUUAUAAUUCUUCAUGGUAUAUCAUCUAAAUUUUAGUAUCUGGCUUGAAGAAUAAGUGUUUCAACUUUUCAAUAACGAAUAAGUGUUUGAAUUUUUCUCGAAAGUAAUGACCAAGAAUUCAGAGGAGCCCGUUGGAGAAUUAUAUAUGGAUACAUUUAUGCAAGCAGGCAAAACAAGUAAAUGCAUAGCUUGAACAUUGAAGAUAUAUAUUUACAUAGAAUGAUAAACCUUGAGUUUGGGUAAAUUGUAUAACAUAUUCACCGAUUUAUUACAAAUAACAACUAGUUUAAUUAAUAUUUUCAAAAUAAAUAUAUACAUCACAUGAUUUUAUUCAAUUGUCAUGCAGAUAACAUUGUGUGCUAACAUGGUCAGUUUGUACAAAGAAUUUAUGUCUCUUGAAUCACUCUUUUCAUUGAUACGGAUUGUAACAGAGUGGUCUAUAGCAUCUAGUGAUAUCGCCCCAUAAUAUUUGACUACUAACGCUUAAAACAGCUAAUAGAUGUCAAUGUCAUGAUUUCUUGAAGUGCCAAUAAUGAAGCAACCAUACAAGGAAAAUAUAUCGAUUACUAUUUGUUAUAUUCACAUUCAACCACCAUGGAAAGACUGUCAACUUGGUCAGCUUUUCAAACUUUAAUGCUAAAUGAUCAUUUAAUGGGGAGAAAAAGAAAAAAAGAAAAAACCUAAACCCUGCAUUAAUUUCCCGUUUCAUAUAUCCUAUUGUCAUUAAGUAAAAUAACAAUAUAUGAGAAAGCCAGUUUAAUUAAUUAAUUUACCUGGAUAGGAGACAGAUUCAAGUGAGCAGCCUUCUCAAAUGCAUUAUUUUGAAUCUUACAAACCUUAGAAUCUUUCAAACAAGUCCUAAUCUCAUUCCACUUCUUCCCAUUAACAAAAUGAUUCUUCAACCAAUUUUGAAAAUCCCCACUCCUGAAACCCUUAAUCCCUUUAUGCGAAACCGCCUUAGCGGCAUCCUCAUUUGUGAUCAGAAACGAGAAGAUUAUGAAGACAACAAGGCCAACAAUCAACAAGAACAACACGAUCAAAUAAAUGAGCAAUAUGGCAUUAGUCCUACAGCAAGAACCGAUCAAACCUAGCAAUGACACGAUGAACAAGACGAUACCCGAUACAAAUAAAGGGUCUGAUAGCUCUUUCUGGCAAUGUGUGGAGCUAUGGACGUAGAAGAACGACGCAAUGGCAAUGGCUAUUAGCCCUAAUACAAGAGAAAUGCAGUUCAGGAACCCCACAAUGAAGUUGCUUACACGAACCAUAUUAUUUCUUUUGAAAGAUUCAAGAUUCUUGUUAAUUUGUUGAAUAUUGAUUGGAUUUUGUUCCCAGCGGUUUGUUAGAAAUAAAUUAGUGAGAAAAAUGAGAAAACCCAGCGAGAAGAAGAUGUCUCUUAACUGCUUUUAAAUUUUGAUUGAGAAUUAAAUAUGGUAUCAAGGGAAAGUGCUCUUUUAAUUCCUAAAAUUUGAGUUAAUUAUAUUCAGUCUGUCCUCGUUAUUUAUUUGUUUUUUGUAAAAUUUACUUAACAUAUUGGUAUGUUAAAUUCGUUUGAAUUUUAAGUUUUAUCGUACAAAAUAUUAUUUUUCCCUUGGACCCAAAACUUUUGAAAAUAAAGACAGAAAUAUUUUGCAUAAGUUCUAAAAAUAAGGAGCUAAAUUCAUAAUUAACCCAAACUUUAAGGACUAAAAAAGAAUUUAUUCAAAUAUUAAUCCAUGCAACGGUUGCUUUGUCUUAAUUUAAUUUAAUUUUAAUUGGUUUUGAAAGAUUUGAAAGAAAGGUUCAAUUUUCAUGCUGGAUUUUCGUCUUGUAACGUAUACGUGUCAUAAUGGCGUGGGAGAAUAUUGGAGUGUAUGAAUUGUUUUGCCAAGUGUGUUACAUUGGAUAUCAUGUCACUAUGAAUGUGAUUGAUAUCAUAAAACCAUUGAUUUUAAUUUAUAAUUAAGUAGAAUGGGAUCUUCGAGAAAGAAAAAAGUCUCUUUUGUUCCCUCUUUUGAUUGUAUUUAUGAUACUAAACACAAUUUUGUUAUAUAAUAAUUUUGUUAUACAAUAACGGAACUGUGUAAAAUCGGCAUUUGUGGACUCUUACAAGAAAUUUUUAAUACAAUAAUGAUUGAAAGAAACUUUGUUAAAUAUGAACUAUUACAUAAAUUUAUUAUAUGGGUCAAUUUCCUUUUAGUCUCUAAGGGCAUGUUUGGUUGUUGUAUUAUAACUCCUCAUUGCAUUAACUUUAUACAAGCCCAUAUUUGAUAAGUUAAAAGCUACAGAAACACUGCAUAAUGGGUCAAUUUAAUGCAGCAGUUUGCCACAUUAGCUAAGCCCGACUGUAAGUUGGGUUCNNNNNNNNNNNNNNNNNNNNNNNNNNNNNNNNNNNNNNNNNNNNNNNNNNNNNNNNNNNNNNNNNNNNNNNNNNNNNNNNNNNNNNNNNNNNNNNNNNNNNNNNNNNNNNNNNNNNNNNNNNNNNNNNNNNNNNNNNNNNNNNNNNNNNNNNNNNNNNNNNNNNNNNNNNNNNNNNNNNNNNNNNNNNNNNNNNNNNNNNNNNNNNNNNNNNNNNNNNNNNNNNNNNNNNNNNNNNNNNNNNNNNNNNNNNNNNNNNNNNNNNNNNNNNNNNNNNNACGGUACAGCAGAAUAUAAAUAAAUGAUUUAUUGUUCAAUAAUAUUAUAUUAUAUUUUUUAUUUUUACAUUUUAAUUUAUUAAUAAAUUUACAAUUUAUUAUGACUAAUAAUAAAUAUUUAAAUAUGAAUAAUAUUAAUUUAAAAUUAAUAAUAAUAAUAAUAUAAUUUAAUAUUUAAUUUAAAUUAAUCACAAAAAAAUCAAUACAGUACAGUGUAGCACCAAACAUUAUACAACAUUAUUAUAAUACGGUACUAAUACAAUACAACAUAAUACAAUACACCAGUAUUAAAAUAAUGAAAUACAACAUAAUAUAAUACAAUGUACUAAACGCACCCUAAGUAAUUUAUUAAUUAAUUAACUAUUAUUUACGUAUAUGGAGAUUCUUUACCUUUUUUUUUAAUUAAUUAACUAUUAUUUAUAUAUAUGGAGAUUCUUUACCUUAGUUUAACAUAUGUCGUUAUUCUUCCACGCGCCUUUAAUUGAUUUACACGAGUAUCACAAUGGUUCCAUUGGAACAAUCUUAUUAUGCAGUUCCCAUCCGACAACUUCAAAGUGUUACAAUUGUUUAGUUUAUACAAAAUGUAUUUACACGGUACAGCAGAAUAUAAAUAAAUGAUUUAUUGUUCAAUAAUAUUAUAUUAUAUUUUUUAUUUUUACAUUUUAAUUUAUUAAUAAAUUUACAAUUUAUUAUGACUAAUAAUAAAUAUUUAAAUAUGAAUAAUAUUAAUUUAAAAUUAAUAAUAAUAAUAAUAUAAUUUAAUAUUUAAUUUAAAGCUUUAAAAAAAAAAAAAAAAAAAAAUUGUUGUUUAGUUGUCAAUAAAUUUUUUUAUUAAAAAUUAAAAUUUUUUAAUAGAUAAAUUUUUUUAAAUUAUGUUGUAAAAUAAAUAAAAUAAAACUGUUAAAUAAGUAAAAUAUAUUUUAGAUAUUUUAAUAUUUUAAAAAGAAUUUUUAAACUCUACUUUUAAAAAUCUAAAAUUUGAGUUUUUACUAAUAUAGGCAAAAUAGUUUAUUUAAUCUUCAAAAAACAACUAAUAAAAUUUUUAAAAAUGCUUAUGCCCAUUAAAUAAGCAAUACCGAACAUAUACUUUAACCAUUUAUUAGUACAAAGUCUAGCAUGAUUGGCAAUUAUUAGGUGCCUUUCAAUGUUAACAUCCGCUAAAACAUCUUCUUAAAAAAGUUACAUACUACCAGAAGUAUGUACUGAGUUUCUAAAGGAAGAAUGUACAGCUUCUUGUACUAAUUAACAUUCUAAGAGUAGCCUCUACCUUAGGGACUCGACUAGCUUACAGAAUCUGUAAGGAACAGACUGCAGCAUCAGCCGUUGGAUGUGGUUGGAUGUGGAGUGAGAAACUAAACAAUAGAAAAUCCGAUGGUGGGAUAACGGGAGAUGUUUGUUACAGAAUCUGUACCAUAGACAGGUCCCUACCUUAGUAUCCAAUGAAUUGAUCAUAUCGAAUGUUCUUCCUCACGCAACAACCAAUCCAGAAGAUGAUAAUUAAAAAGCCAAUAACACAUGCAUUGAGUACGGCCAGAAGCCUCCACUCCCUCUUGAUAUUGGCAAGAACACCACCUUUACAUGAAUUGCAAUCGUAACAAAGCUGCUUCUGGUCGUUGCUGAACAUCGCGCAGUCACUGUCACUCACCGCCGGUCCAUUUUCUGGCAUUGUCCAGAACGUCGCGUUCUUGCGUUCCAAUCCGCAGUACACCGGUGGCUUGCAACAGCUUGACUGAAUAUUGAAACAACUCCAUUGUUAGCCCAAAGCGAUUACGCAUAACACACCCACUCACACAUCUCUAUGUAUGUAUGUAUGUAUGAGUGAGAAUGACACGUUGGUCCUCAAUAUUUCUCAUUAUUAUCACUUUUUUUUUUCAAAUUUACCCAUAGAGUCCUACAUGUAUGCAAAUUUUACUGUUGGAAGAUAAAUGUAAUCUUCAGUAUUCAAAAUUUUUCCUCUCUUUUCACAAACACAUCAAGAAUAAACUGACAACAAAAAUACAAUUGUAAAAUUAUUCAAAAAAAUAUAUUUGCUAUUAAUGUUUUAUGUGGGGGUUUAAUACCGAGUGUCAUUCUCCCUUUAACACAUGUUCCUACAUUAAUAUUUAUUGAAAAAAUAUUUUACGUGUUGUAAUCCAAACACUAUAGGAAUGCUUUAAUCACUUUAAAAGCACUUUUGAGAAAAAAACCAAAAGCAUUUCGAAAUAAAAGCAUAGGCCAUAAAUUUAGCUCUUCCGAAAUACAUAUCCAGGUCAAAUUGUGGCCAUAUAAAACUAAUUGUUCGAUAUAAGGCAAUAAAAUUAAAAAAUGAAUGAAAGUACCUGUACUAGAGACCAAUCCUUUAAGUCUUUGUUACCAAGAUUUCUGCAGACGUUUGCGUCAGCCAAACAACUCCUAAUCUCUUGCCAAUUUUUACCAUCAGCAAGGCGAUUUUGCAGCCAAUAAGAGUAAUCAUGAAGCCGAUUCUGCGACACUUUUUUACCCACAAACGUGUUGGUAACGAUGAGCACAAAAACCGUGAAAGCUAUGAGCCCUAAUAUCGAAAUGAGCAUCACAAACAAAUAAAUACACAGCAGCCAAUCAGUCCUGCAACAUGCACCCACCAACCCUAACGUCGACACAAUCAACAAGAACAGACCCGUCACCAACAACGGCAUUUCUAGGGUUUUUUGACAAGCUGAGCCGUCAUGCAUUUGCACAUACGCUGAACAGAAGACGGCGGCGAAACCCAUUGCAAGUGAUAUUAAGUUUAAGGCUAUGAACAUUGCAUUGCUAAAGCGAGGCAUUGUGUGUUGUGUUGUGUAAUUGAAUUUUUCUAUUUUUUUAUUUUUUGGUGAAAAAGAGUGGUGUGAUGAUAUUUAUGUAAAUGUUGGUUGUUGCUGUUAAGAGAAAAAGGAAGAAAUAAAACAGAAUAGUAGGUAAGAUCUUCUUCUUUUUUGGGGGGGAUUUGUAACGGACUUUAUGUCUAUGGAAAUAUAUUAACUUUUGUUAUUGAAUUCAAUAUUCAUAAACGAGUGUAAAAUUAAUUAAUUAAUUAUUGAUUUGAGUCAAUUUGGAAACUAUUUAUACUUAAAAUUUUUUUACUAGGAAAUAUUUUGUAUUAUAUAUAAACACACACACAUACAUAUAUAAAAGUAAAGUAUUAAAGAAGAAAUAUCCAAGUUGUUUAUUAAUAAUUAAUAUUACUUUUUUUUUGUUUUUCUUUAGAAUAAAAAAUGAAUUAAAGAGAUAACAAGUAGUAUUUAUUGAUGAAGGAUGACAAAGUAGUAAUUUGUUAAAUUUUAAAUGAUUUUGUUAAAGAAUAAAUAGAAACACAAACAAUAAAUUGAUUAAUUAAUUAAUAUCCAUAAAAAUAAUUUUUAAAAGGUAAAAAAACAACUCAUCAGCUCUGAUUACAGCUAAUUAAGUGUUAAAGAAAAAACUUUUAUAUCAGAAUAUUCCAAUAGAUAAACAAACCAGUAAACUAAAUCAGUUCUAAGUAUAUAUGUCGUUAAUUUCAGAUUCAUUGUUGUUCUACUUUGUUUAAACUUUAAAUCUAAACAUUUAUAAUAAAAAAUCUAUCUCUUAAGGUUAUUAUAGAUCAAGUCUAUUUAAAGCCAAUAAUUUAUUGCAAAAGCCAAGAACUAUUUGUUAAUAACAAAUGACAAGCUAUAUUAUAUAUCAUGAUUGGUUAUGACAACUGAAACAAGCUUCGAGUUUUGUUAGCACCAAGUCGAUCGGUCUUCUCAUUAGAAACGUAGUUUCCUUGUAACGAACAACAACAUGAUAAGGACUCACGGGUAGAACUCACCCAAAAAUCAACUUGUAAGGGCGGGUGUCCAUAAGUUUAUAUUCUCAUUUACGUUGUUGUAUUCUUUCCAUCUGAGAUAUUACCCAAUCAUUCUCAAUUCGGUGAUUUCGUUGAUCUCAUCUUUUUCUGAGUAGGAGCACCAUUCAGAUUUGCCCAAUCUAUAACAUUGGUCAUGAAUCUCAUCUUUUUCUGAGUAGAAACCCUUUCCAGGUUGCCCCAUAUGUAACAUCGCGAUCAUGAAUCUCUAUCUUUUUCUAAGUAGCAAAUUCACCCUAUUCGUAACAUCGAGGUCACGGAGCCGUACCCAUACACCGAUUCCAUACUGGAUGUGAUGCCUGCUCUAAUACCAAAUAAUAAGGAUCAAUGAGUAGAUCUUGUUGGAGAAUUAAUAAAUAAAACACACAAAAAACACACUAUUUUAUUUCUUCAACAACACUCCUCAUCAAUUACAACUCUUAUUUUUCACUCUCUACACCUUAGAGAUUUUGCUACUUCACUUGAUUUUUAAACCAAAGGGGAGAGAGGGUAUUUAUACAUGAAACAAACUAAUCACAACCAUUCAUUUAUUCAACUAAUAAACAAAUUCUCACCAUCCAUUAAAACCUACCACUCACCUACUUCACCAACCACACCUAACACACCUAACACAAAUAAUUCAAACCUCACCAACCAUACCUACUCAUGGAACCUUCCAUGAGUUGGGCUUGAUUUAUUCAUCUUGGAUCAAGUUUAUGAUCCAACACCUCCCCUUAAAUUUGAUCCUGUGACACCAAGCAAAUUUCUGAAUCUUAUAAAGUCUUCUUGCUUGAGUGGCUUAGUGAAGAUAUCAGCUGCUUGAUCUUGUGAUUUUACAUACUUGAUUUGCACUUCUUUUCUUGCAAUACACUCUCUUAUGAAAUGAUAGCGAGUGUCUAUGUGUUUACUUCGAUCAUGAAAGACUGGAUUCUUGGAUAGGGCAAUUGCUGAUUUGUUAUCAACACAAAUCUCAGUUGGCUCUUCUUGUGCCAAACUCAACUCCUUCAGCAAAUUUCUGAGCCAAAUUGCAUGACAAACACUUGAUGUGGCAGCUACAUAUUCAGCUUCACAGGUGGAUAGAGUGACAAUUGGUUGCUUCUUUGACAUCCAUGUGAAAGCAGUAUCUCCCAUGAAGAACACAAAUCCUGUUGUGCUCUUUCGAUCAUCUACAUCUCCACCCCAAUCGCUAUCGCUAUAUCCAACAAGCUUAUAGUCAUUAGAAAAUGAGUACAGCAAGCCGAAAUUAGUUGUACCUUUGAUGUAGCGAAGGAUUCUUUUUGCAGCUUUAAAAUGAGUGGUCUUUGGAUUCUCCAUGUAUCGGCUCACAAGUCCAACAGCAUAAAGAAUAUCUGGUCUUGUGCAUGUCAAAUAACGUAGGCUUCCAACCAAACUUUUAAAGAAUGUUGGAUCUAUAUCUUCGCCUUCAUCAUGUUUGGAUAACUUGACUCCGCAUUCCACUGGCGUGCUUAUAGGCUUGCAAUCAUUCAUCUUGAACCUUUUGAGAAUCUCCUUUGCAUAACUUUCUUGGGAGAUAAAUAUGUCUUCUUCAUUUUGCUUGACUUCAAUGCCGAGGUAAUAUGCCAUCAGUCCGAUGUCAGUCAUCUCGAACUCUUUGAUCAUCACUCUUUUGAACUCUUCAAACAAGCUUGGAUUACUUCCAGUGAAGAUGAGAUCAUCCACAUACAGGCACACAAUCAAAAUAUCUCCAUCUUUUUCUUUGACGUAGAGAGCAUGUUCAUAUGGGCAUUUGGUGAAGCCUUUCUCUUGAAAAUACUUGUCAAUUCUGCUAUUCCAUGCCCUUGGUGCUUGCUUUAACCCGUAAAGAGCUUUCUUCAAUCUCAAAACUUUGUCUUCAUGUCCUUUCACCACAUAGCCUAAUGGUUGUCCGAUGUAAACUUCUUCUUCAAGGAAUCCAUUCAAGAAAGCAGACUUCACAUCCAUUUGAAAAAUCUUUCAUUUGUUCUGAGCAGCCAAAGAAACAAUAAGUCUAAUAGUUUCAAGUCGAGGUACAGGAGCAAAUACCUCGUCAUAGUCUAUGCCAGCCUUUUGACUAUAGCCUUUUGUAACUAGCCUCGCCUUGUGCCUUUCAAUUUCUCCCUUCGCAUUUCUUUUUGUUUUAUACACCCAUUUGACACCGAUCGCCUUGUGACCUUUUGGAAGAGUAGUAAGCUCCCAAGUAUCAUUCUUCACAAUGGCUUUGAUUUCUUCAUCCAUUGCCAUUCUUUACUUCUCAUCUAGUGCAGCUUCUUGGAAGUUGACUGGCUCACAAUUAGCAAAGAGGCAAAAGAGAGUGAGAUUAUCAUGUCUCUUAGUUACCUCAUAGAGAUCUUGAAGACUCCUUGUGCAUUCUUCGGUUCUUUCAUUUAAGAAAUACGGCGGUGAAUCUCCGCAUGUGGUUGAUGCUGGUGAGAUAGGUGGAGUGGCAGGCUCUUGUUGUUCGUCUACUUGUUUUAUCUGUGUAUGAUCAUCUUCUUCAAUGGGAAAGAAGUUGAAGUCAUCCACACCUGAGUCAAAAUCACAUUCUCCUUCUUCAUCAAAAACUACAUCUCGACUAAUCACGAUAUUCCCAUUGUUUGGAUUGUAAAGCUUGUAUCCUUUGGAGUUGUUGUCGUAGCCGAUGAAGAUGAACUUCUCACUUUUGUCAUCCAGCUUGGCUCUACUUUCGUCUGGUACAUGUACAUGGGCAAUGCUUCCGAAAACUCUUAGAUGGGUGAUGCCGGGUUUUCUUCCACUCCAAGCUUCUUGUGGCGUCUUGCCCCACACGCUUCUUGUUGGAGAUCGAUUGGAUAAGUAGACUGCACAUGCAACAGCUUCAGCCCAAAAUUCUUUAGGUAGCCUCUUACUCUUAAGCAUGCUUCUUGCCAUAUCGAGGAUGGUUCUGUUCUUCCUUUCUACAAUACCAUUUUGUUGGGGGGAUCUUAGAACUGUCAAAGGGCGUCGAAUUCCAUAUGCUUCACAAAACUCUAAAAAUUCUUUGGAAGUGAACUCUCCACCUCGAUCAGAUCUCAUGGCUUUAAUCUGGUAUCCACUUUCUUUUUCAACUGCAGCUUUAAACUUCUUGAAAGCUUCAAAAACUUCUGAUUUUUGCUUCAAAAAAUACACCCAAGUUUUUCUUGAAAAAUCAUCUAUGAAGAGAAGGAAGUAGUUACUUUUACCAAGGGAGUUUGGCUUGAAUGGACCGCACACAUCAGUAUGAAUGAGCUCGAGUGGCUUCUGAGCUCUUGAGUUUGACUCCUUUGGAAAGCUCUUUCUGAAUUGCUUGCCAAGUAAACAUCCUUCACAAAGUUGAUCAGGGUGAUUGAUGUAUGGUAACCCUUUCACCGUGUUCUUCUUGAAUAGUAUCUUUAGUCCUCCAAAGUUGAGAUGCCCAUAUCGAAGAUGCCAAGUCCAGGAUUGAUCUUUGUGACAGGCUUUGAGACAUUUUGCAACAUCAUUUUAAAUAUUUAAAGGAAACAUUCUAUUCUUCGACAUUUUCACCUUUGUAAUUAGAUUUCCUUUAUCAUCUCUUAGGAAAAGUACAGCAGAACUUGCAAUGUAAUGGAGAAAUAUGAAGGAGAAUGUGGUUUAAAAAACUUUUUAAGUUUUUUUUUUUAAAAAAAAAUCGAAAAGUAAAGGGUUUUUCAAUUUUCACCGCGUACCCAUUCUGCUAGAUUUGCCCUAACGGUUGUAUUCCUUUCUCAAAAGGGUGGGGCUAUUUGAACCCCUAAUUUACUCAAUAAAUUUAUUUUUAAAAAUAAUUUUUUAUUAUUAAAAUAUUCUUAAAUUAAAUUACAGUUAUGGACACUAGAAUAUAAUUUAAAAAAAAAACUGAAUUUUUAGUCUUUAAACCUAUCUUUAUAUUCAACAUAGUUUCAUAGAAUUCUAAUCAAAUUUUCAUUAAACUCUAAAAUGAUAGCGAGUGUCUAUGUGUUUACUUCGAUCAUGAAAGACUGGAUUCUUGGAUAGGGCAAUUGCUGAUUUGUUAUCAACACAAAUCUCGGUUGGCUCUUCUUGUGCCAAACUCAACUCCUUCAGCAAAUUUCUGAGCCAAAUUGUAUGACAAACACUUGAUGUGGCAGCUACAUAUUCAGCUUCACAGGUGGAUAGAGUGACAAUUGGUUGCUUCUUUGACAUCCAUGUGAAAGCAGUAUCUCCCAUGAAGAACACAAAUCCUGUUGUGCUCUUUCGAUCAUCUACAUCUCCACCCCAAUCGCUAUCGCUAUAUCCAAUAAGCUUGUAGUCAUUAGAAAAUGAGUAUAACAAGCCGAAAUUAAUUGUACCUUUGAUGUAGCGAAUGAUUCUUUUUGCAGCUUUAAAAUGAGUGGUCUUUGGAUUCUCCAUGUAUCGGCUCACAAGUCCAACAGCAUAAAGGAUAUUUGGUCUUGUGCAUGUCAAAUAACGUAGGCUUUCAACCAAACUUUUAAAGAAUGUUGGAUCUAUAUUUUCGCCUUCAUCAUAUUUGGAUAACUUGACUCCGCAUUCCACUGGCGUGCUUAUAGGCUUGCAAUCAUUCAUCUUGAACCUUUUGAGAAUCUCCUUUGCAUAACUUUCUUGGGAGAUAAAUAUGUCUUCUUCCUUUUGCUUGACUUCAAUGCCGAGGUAAUAUGCCAUCAGUCCGAUGUCAGUCAUCUCGAACUCUUUGAUCAUCACUCUUUUGAACUCUUCAAACAAGCUUGGAUUACUUCCAGUGAAGAUGAGAUCAUCCACAUACAGUCACACAAUCAAAAUAUCUCCAUCUUUUUCUUUGACGUAGAGAGCAUGUUCAUAUGGGCAUUUGGUGAAGCCUUUCUCUUGAAAAUACUUGUCAAUUCUGCUAUUCCAUGCCCUUGGUGCUUGCUUUAACCCGUAAAGAGCUUUCUUCAAUCUCAAAACUUUGUCUUCAUGUCCUUUCACCACAUAGCCUAAUGGUUGUUCGAUGUAAACUUCUUCUUCAAGGAAUCCAUUCAAGAAAGCAGACUUCACAUCCAUUUGAAAAAUCUUCCAUUUGUUCUGAGCAGCCAAAGAAAUAAUAAGUCUAAUAGUUUCAAGUCGAGCUACAGGAGCAAAUACCUCGUCAUAGUCUAUGCCAGCCUUUUGACUAUAGCCUUUUGCAACUAGCCUCGCCUUGUGCCUUUCAAUUUCUCCCUUCGCAUUUCUUUUUGUUUUAUACACCCAUUUGACACCGAUCGCCUUGUGACCUUUUGGAAGAGUAGUAAGCUCCCAAGUAUCAUUCUUCACAAUGGCUUUGAUUUCUUCAUCCAUUGCCAUUCUUUACUUCUCAUCUAGUGCAGCUUCUUGGAAGUUGACUGGCUCACAAUCAGCAAAGAGGCAAAAGAGAGUGAGAUUAUCAUGUCUCUCAGUUACCUCAUAGAGAUCUUGAAGACUCAUUGUACGUUCUUCGGUUCUUUCAUUUAAGAAAGGCGGCCGUGAAUCUCCGCAUGUGGUUGGUACCGGUGAGAUAGGUGGAGUGGCAUGCUCUUGUUGUUCGUCUACUUGUUUUAUCUGUGUAUGAUCAUCUUCUUCAAUGGGAAAGAAGUUGAAGUCAUCCACACCUGAGUCAAAAUCACAUUCUCCUUCUUCAUCAAAAACUACAUCUCGACUAAUCACGAUAUUCCCAUUGUUUGGAUUGUAAAGCUUGUAUCCUUUGGAGUUGUUGUCGUAGCCGAUGAAGAUGAACUUCUCACUUUUGUCAUCCAGCUUGGCUCUACUUUCGUCUGGUACAUGUACAUGGGCAAUGCUUCCGAAAACUCUUAGAUGGGUGAUGCCGGGUUUUCUUCCACUCCAAGCUUCUUGUGGCGUCUUGCCCCACACACUUCUUGUUGGAGAUCGAUUGGAUAAGUAGACUGCACAUGCAACAGCUUCAGCCCACAAUUCUUUAAGUAGCCUCUUACUCUUAAGCAUGCUUCUUGCCAUAUCGAGGAUGGUUCUGUUCUUCCUUUCUGCAACACCAUUUUGUUGGGGGGAUCUUGGAACUGUCAAAGGACGUCGAAUUCCAUUUGCUUCACAAAACUCUAAAAAUUCUUUGGAAGUGAACUCUCCACCUCGAUCAGAUCUCAUGGCUUUAAUAUGGUAUCCCAUUUCUUUUUUAACUGCAGCUUUAAACUUUUUGAAAGCUUCAAAGACUUCUGAUUUUUGCUUCAAAAAAUACACCCAAGUUUUUCUUGAAAAAUCAUCUAUGAAGAGAAGGAAGUAGUUACUUUUACCAAGGGAGUUUGGCUUGAAUGGACCGCACACAUCAGUAUGAAUGAGCUCGAGUGGCUUCUGAGCUCUUGAGUUUGACUCCUUUGGAAAGCUCUUUCUAAACUGCUUGCCAAGUAAACAUCCUUCACAAAGUUGAUGAAGGUGAUUGAUGUAUGGUAAGCCUUUCACCAUGUUUUUCUUGGAUAGUAGCUCCAGUCCUCCAAAGUUGAGAUGCCCAUAUCGAAGAUGCCAAGUCCAGGAUUGAUCUUUGUAAGAAUGUUGCUUUUCAUAUUGGGCACAUAGUAAACAUUCGAAAUUAUUUGGUGACUACCAUCUUUUGCACGAAAAAGAAUGUUACCUCUACCCUUCACUGGUACUUUUGAAUCAUCUCCAAAGGCAACACUGUCAUUCACAAAUUCACGUAACUGCACGAACAUGCUUUUGUUCCCACUCAUAUGAUUGCUAGCACCUGUGUCAAGAUACCAUGUAUUUUCUUGACCCCCACUUGUGUUAUUGCGUGCUAGUAAAAGUGUGCCAUCUUCACUAUUUUUCUCUUCAGCAUAGUUCACUCUCUCUUCAAUUCUGGUGCUUGGAGCUCUGCAUUCUGAAGCAUAAUGCCCAAACUUUUGACAAUUAUAGCACUGUACUUGGGAUUUGUCAUACCUCGAUCUUGGAUUGCCUCUGCCUCGUCCUCUAGUUGAGCUUUCUCCUUUGGCAUAAUUGGAGUUGUUGUUGUUGAAAUUCCAACCUCGUCCAUGACCACGACCUCUACCUCGUCCUCGACCUCUACCUCGGACAUAGUGCCUUCUCUCGUUGUCGGAGCUUUCUUCUCUUUUCUUUGGAUUGACUUCCAUCUUGAGAAGUUGUUCUUCGAUUCCUUGCUUCUUUUUUUGUUUUUCUUCAUAGGCUUGUAACCUUCCUUGAAGUUGCUCGAUCGUCAUAUCCUCCAAAUCUCUUGUUUCUUCAAUUGUCACAACAAUAUGGUCAAACUUCGAGUCUACUGAUCGAAGUAUCUUUUCAAUGAUCCUUAUCUCUUUUAACUCCUCGCCAUUUCUUUUUAACUCAUUGGAAACGGUCACAACCCGAGUAAAGUAGUCAGAAAUUGACUCUGAUACCUUCAUAUGUAAG
This 30441-nucleotide long non-coding RNA is filed under the name Citrus sinensis (sweet orange). RNAcentral describes it as "long non-coding RNA (CSIN_LNC005010)". Lineage: Eukaryota; Viridiplantae; Streptophyta; Magnoliopsida; Sapindales; Rutaceae. The record is from RNAcentral.